This 164-nucleotide ribosomal RNA is filed under the name Brachypodium sylvaticum. RNAcentral describes it as "5.8S ribosomal RNA". It matches the Rfam family "5.8S ribosomal RNA". From Rfam's summary of the family: 5.8S ribosomal RNA (5.8S rRNA) is a component of the large subunit of the eukaryotic ribosome. It is transcribed by RNA polymerase I as part of the 45S precursor that also contains 18S and 28S rRNA. Functionally, it is thought that 5.8S rRNA may be involved in ribosome translocation. Lineage: Eukaryota; Viridiplantae; Streptophyta; Magnoliopsida; Poales; Poaceae. The record is from RNAcentral.
GACACGACUCUCGGCAACGGAUAUCUCGGCUCUCGCAUCGAUGAAGAACGUAGCGAAAUGCGAUACCUGGUGUGAAUUGCAGAAUCCCGCGAACCAUCGAGUCUUUGAACGCAAGUUGCGCUCGAGGCCACCCGGUCGAGGGCACGCCUGCCUGGGCGUCACGC